GGCGGACGGGUGAGUAACGCGUGGGGAAUCUACCUUUUAGUGGGGAAUAACGCUCCGAAGGAGUGGUAAUACCGCAUGUGACCAUUGGCUGGGAUGUUGAUGGUGAAACCCUGGGACCUUCGGGCCAGGGGCUAAAAGAGGAUCCUGCGUCUGAUUAGCUAGUUGCGGGGUAACGGCCCACCAAGGCGACGAUCAGUAGCCGGCCUGAGAGGGUGAUCGGCCACACUGGAACUGAGACACGGUCCAGACUCCUACGGGAGCAGCAGUGGGGAAUUUUGCGCAAUGGACGAAAGUCUGACGCAGCAACGCCGCGUGGUGAUGAAGGUC
RNAcentral lists this ribosomal RNA (327 nucleotides) under uncultured bacterium. RNAcentral describes it as "bacterial SSU rRNA". It matches the Rfam family "Bacterial small subunit ribosomal RNA", at positions 97 to 416 of the family's 1533-position model. The record is from RNAcentral.